UGACCGCUGGCGGCGUGCCUACUACAUGCAAGUCGAGCGAACAGAUGCGGAGCUUGCUCCUCUGACGUUAGCGGCGGACGGGUGAGUAACACGUGGAUAACCUACCUAUAAGACUGGGAUAACUUCGGGAAACCGGAGCUAAUACCGGAUAAUAUAUUGAACCGCAUGGUUCAAUAGUGAAAGACGGUUUUGCUGUCACUUAUAGAUGGAUCCGCGCCGCAUUAGCUAGUUGGUAAGGUAACGGCUUACCAAGGCAACGAUGCGUAGCCGACCUGAGAGGGUGAUCGGCCACACUGGAACUGAGACACGGUCCAGACUCCUACGGGAGGCAGCAGUAGGGAAUCUUCCGCAAUGGGCGAAAGCCUGACGGAGCAACGCCGCGUGAGUGAUGAAGGUCUUCGGAUCGUAAAACUCUGUUAUUAGGGAAGAACAAAUGUGUAAGUAACUAUGCACGUCUUGACGGUACCUAAUCAGAAAGCCACGGCUAACUACGUG
RNAcentral lists this ribosomal RNA (495 nucleotides) under uncultured bacterium. Its description in RNAcentral is "partial 16S ribosomal RNA". It matches the Rfam family "Bacterial small subunit ribosomal RNA", at positions 30 to 507 of the family's 1533-position model. The record is from RNAcentral.